RNAcentral lists this ribosomal RNA (807 nucleotides) under Tridactyle sp. Szlachetko s.n. RNAcentral's name for it is "eukaryotic LSU rRNA". The stretch from base 340 to 495 matches the Rfam family "5.8S ribosomal RNA". The record is from RNAcentral. Lineage: Eukaryota; Viridiplantae; Streptophyta; Magnoliopsida; Asparagales; Orchidaceae.
GCCGCCCGCGACACUGCGAGAAGUCCAUUGAACCUUAUCAUUUAGAGGAAGGAGAAGUCGUAACAAGGUUUCCGUAGGUGAACCUGCGGAAGGAUCAUUGUCGAGACCGAAAUAUAUCGAGCGAUUCAGAGAACCCGUGAAAUAAGCGGCGGCGGUUGCUGCCGUGAAACGGCCAUCUCAGUCGUCGCCCCGCCUCCUUCGGAGGAGGGGGUCCGCGAUGAAGGAUGGCCGAAACCCCAAACCGGCGCAAUUCCGCGCCAAGGAAACUAUUGAAAAACACGAGCCCUGCAUCGGGGCUAUGUGGUGUGGAGCGGCGUUGCACGCCGCACGAAUUGACACGACUCUCGGCAAUGGAUAUCUCGGCUCUCGCAUCGAUGAAGAGCGCAGCGAAAUGCGAUACGUGGUGCGAAUUGCAGAAUCCCGCGAACCAUCGAGUCUUUGAACGCAAGUUGCGCCCGAGGCCAACCGGCCGAGGGCACGUCCGCCUGGGCGUCAAGCGUUGCGUCGCUCCGCGCCGAGUCCCAUCCCACGAGUGGGGGUGACGGCCGAGGCCCGGAUGUGCAGAGUGGCUCGUCGUGCCCAUCGGUGCGGCGGGCUGAAGAGCGGGUUAUCUUCUCGAUGGCCACGAACAACGAGGGGUGGAUUUAACCUACGGGCAAGGCCUGCGUUGUCUCGUGUUGGCCCGAGAGAAGAUUAUACCCUGCGCGUGAUCCCAUCCAUGCGUCGGCCCACAUACGACGGCUUGGAAUGCGACCCCAGGAUGGGCGAGACCACCCGCUGAGUUUAAGCAUAUCAAUAAGCGGAGGA